This 309-nucleotide ribosomal RNA is filed under the name uncultured eukaryote. RNAcentral's name for it is "partial 18S ribosomal RNA". It matches the Rfam family "Eukaryotic small subunit ribosomal RNA", at positions 1470 to 1796 of the family's 1831-position model. The record is from RNAcentral.
CCCUUAGAUGUUCUGGGCGGCCCGCGCACUACAAUGGCGUGUGCAGCGAGUGCCGAAGUAGAGUUUUCCGAGGUAUUCUUGCAAUGCUCGUUUUGAUGGGGAUAGACCCUUGCAACUGUUGGUUUUGAACGAGGAAUUCCUUGUAAGCAUGGUUUAUCACCCGACGCUGAAUGCGUCCCUGCCCUUUGUACACACCGCCCGUCGCUCCUACCGAUGAGUCGUCCGGUGAAGUUCGUAGACCUCGUGAUCGCGGAUCACUGGGGGAAGCAAAAUGAACCUCGCGGUUUAGAGGAAGGAGAAGUCGUAACA